CGAAUAAUCAAAAACGAAACCUGUCUCCUGAGCUCUUAUCUACGACUUCGUGCGUCAAAAGUCAACUUCAAUGCUGAACAAACGACACCAAUAACAUUUUUAAGAAGGUAAUAAUGGUAAUGUGGACCAAGUUGAGGAAGUGGAGGAGGUCUGUCUGCCACGUUUAGUGGUGAGAGAUAGAAGGAUCCAGUUGUCAUGCAGUCAGAGGAGGAGUUCUUGAAACGUUAUCAACUGCCAAAGCAGUGCACCAGAAACCUGCUUCAGAAAAUCAGCAGAAAAUUACCCACAGCAAGAGAUGGCAGAGGUUGCAGCUUGUGUUAUGUUGCA
RNAcentral lists this long non-coding RNA (327 nucleotides) under Penaeus japonicus. Its description in RNAcentral is "uncharacterized LOC122243410". Lineage: Eukaryota; Metazoa; Arthropoda; Malacostraca; Decapoda; Penaeidae. The record is from RNAcentral.